GUGUGUGUGUAUAUAAUGCAGUGUGUUUGUGUAGUGUGUUUAUAUAAUGCACACUACACAAACACACUGCAUUAUAUACACACACUAU
Molecule: non-coding RNA, 88 nt
Organism: Pelobates cultripes (western spadefoot toad)
Lineage: Eukaryota; Metazoa; Chordata; Amphibia; Anura; Pelobatidae
Source: the annotation of a GenBank genome assembly